AAAGUCGUAACAAGGUCUCCGUAGGUGAACCUGCGGAGGGAUCAUUACAGGAUUUUAUAACCCACAACAAGUGUUUCUUUCUUUCGAGGGGAGACACUUUAACCAAACGAUCACAACCAAGGAAAAAGAGAAUGAUUUUUGGGGUGCUCUUGAGGAUAUUUUUAUUCGCUUGAGCGGGGGGGAAAUAAUAAGUGUUUGCCUGAUAAUUGGUUGACUUGGAAACUAAAUACAAACAUACAACUUUCAACAACGGAUCUCUUGGCUCUC
This 267-nucleotide unclassified non-coding RNA is filed under the name Ascomycota sp. RNAcentral's name for it is "partial contains small subunit ribosomal RNA, internal transcribed spacer 1, and 5.8S ribosomal RNA". The stretch from base 1 to 47 matches the Rfam family "Eukaryotic small subunit ribosomal RNA", at positions 1785 to 1831 of the family's 1831-position model. The record is from RNAcentral. Lineage: Eukaryota; Fungi; Ascomycota.